This 20-nucleotide microRNA is filed under the name Caenorhabditis elegans. Its description in RNAcentral is "cel-miR-273". Its record names the gene cel-miR-273. The record is from miRBase by way of RNAcentral. Lineage: Eukaryota; Metazoa; Nematoda; Chromadorea; Rhabditida; Rhabditidae.
UGCCCGUACUGUGUCGGCUG